This 271-nucleotide ribosomal RNA is filed under the name uncultured prokaryote. Its description in RNAcentral is "partial 16S ribosomal RNA". It matches the Rfam family "Bacterial small subunit ribosomal RNA", at positions 524 to 794 of the family's 1533-position model. The record is from RNAcentral.
UACGUAGGGCGCAAGCGUUGUCCGGAAUUAUUGGGCGUAAAGAGCUCGUAGGCGGUUUAUCACGUCGGCUGUGAAAUCCCGAGGCUUAACCUCGGGCCUGCAGUCGAUAUGGGUUGACUAGAGUGAAGCAGGGGAGACUGGAAUUCCUGGUGUAGCGGUGAAAUGCGCAGAUAUCAGGAGGAACACCGGUGGCGAAGGCGGGUCUCUGGGCUUUAACUGACGCUGAGGAGCGAAAGCGUGGGUAGCGAACAGGAUUAGAUACCCGUGUAGU